AGUACAGUAGUGUGUUAUCUUAAAAACGACAAAAAUAAGCAUGGCCCCCGCGCAAGGAUGACACGCAAAUUCGUGAAGCGUUCUUCUUUUUU
This 92-nucleotide small nuclear RNA is filed under the name Scophthalmus maximus (turbot). The record is from RNAcentral. Lineage: Eukaryota; Metazoa; Chordata; Actinopteri; Pleuronectiformes; Scophthalmidae.